Molecule: ribosomal RNA, 253 nt
Filed under: uncultured bacterium
Lineage: Bacteria
Description: partial 16S ribosomal RNA
Rfam family: Bacterial small subunit ribosomal RNA
Source: RNAcentral
GACAGAGGUGCCAAGCGUUAGGCGGAAUCACUGGGCUUAAAGCGUGUGUAGGCGGACUUGUAAGUACCUUGUGAAAUCCCACGGCUCAACCGUGGAACUGCUUGGUAUACUGCUUGUCUUGAGCCAGCUAGGGGCUACCGGAACAAAUGGUGGAGCGGUGAAAUGCGUAGAUAUCAUUUGGAACGCCAAUGGUGAAAACAGGUAGCUGGGGCUGUGCUGACGCUGAGACACGAAAGCCAGGGGAGCGAACGGG